AAAGUCUUAAGUUAAGUAAACUAUAAGCCUUCAAAGCUUGCAUUAGGAAUGUCCUAGGCUUUA
RNAcentral lists this transfer RNA (63 nucleotides) under Polyphemus pediculus. Its description in RNAcentral is "tRNA-Trp". Lineage: Eukaryota; Metazoa; Arthropoda; Branchiopoda; Diplostraca; Polyphemidae. The record is from RNAcentral.